RNAcentral lists this ribosomal RNA (610 nucleotides) under delta proteobacterium enrichment culture clone WIP6m8G. Its description in RNAcentral is "bacterial SSU rRNA". It matches the Rfam family "Bacterial small subunit ribosomal RNA", at positions 153 to 740 of the family's 1533-position model. The record is from RNAcentral. Lineage: Bacteria; Deltaproteobacteria.
GAAAGGUGUGCUAAUACCGAAUGAUGCUGAUUGACCUUGGUCACUCAGCCAAAGAGAGCCUCUUCUUGAAAGCCCUCGCUGUUGGAUGAGUCCGCGUACCAUUAGCUUGUUGGUAGGGUAAUGGCCUACCAAGGCUGUGAUGGUUAGCUGGUCUGAGAGGAUGAUCAGCCACACUGGAACUGAGACACGGUCCAGACUCCUACGGGAGGCAGCAGUGAGGAAUCUUGCGCAAUGGGGGAAACCCUGACGCAGCAACGCCGCGUGAGUGAGGAAGGUUUUCGGAUCGUAAAGCUCUGUCAGUUGGAAAGAAACGCCUGUGGGUUAAUACCCCAUAGGUUUGACGGUACCAACAAAGGAAGCACCGGCUAACUCCGUGCCAGCAGCCGCGGUAAUACGGGGGGUGCAAGCGUUGUUCGGAAUUAUUGGGCGUAAAGAGCGUGUAGGCGGCCUGAUGUGUCAGAUGUGAAAGCCCUGGGCUUAACCCAGGAAGUGCAUUUGAAACUGUCAGGCUUGAGUAGGGGGAGGGGGAAGUGGAAUUCCUGGUGUAGAGGUGAAAUUCNUANAUAUCAGGAGGAACACCGGUGGCGAAGGCGACUUCCUGGCCCUAUAC